GACGAACGCUGGCGGCGUGCCUAAUACAUGCAAGUUGAGCGCUGAAGGUUGGUACCUGUACCAACUGGAUGAGCAGCGAACGGGUGAGUAACGCGUGGGGAAUCUGCCUUUGAGCGGGGGACAACAUUUGGAAACGAAUGCUAAUACCGCAUAAAAACUUUAAACACAAGUUUUAAGUUUGAAAGAUGCAAUUGCAUCACUCAAAGAUGAUCCCGCGUUGUAUUAGCUAGUUGGUGAGGUAAAGGCUCACCAAGGCGAUGAUACAUAGCCGACCUGAGAGGGUGAUCGGCCACAUUGGGACUGAGACACGGCCUAAACUCCUACGGGAGGCAGCAGUAGGGAAUCUUCGGCAAUGGACGAAAGUCUGACCGAGCAACGCCGCGUGAGUGAAGAAGGUUUUCGGAUCGUAAAACUCUGUUGGUAGAGAAGAACGUUGGUGAGAGUGGAAAGCUCAUCAAGUGACGGUAACUACCCAGAAAGGGACGGCUAACUACGUG
Molecule: ribosomal RNA, 497 nt
Filed under: uncultured bacterium
Lineage: Bacteria
Description: partial 16S ribosomal RNA
Rfam family: Bacterial small subunit ribosomal RNA
Source: RNAcentral